AUCAUGUGUCCUCCAGCUGACCGUCCCAAUACCUUUGAUCGCACAGCUCGAUCCAUCUGGCAGAUAUACAGUGCCCUCACUGUUCUCCAGGGAGUCAAACUGCUCCUCUCUGCAACAUACAUGAUAGGGGCAUGCAGAAUCUAAUAUCCACUGCUGGAAAGAAGUAAAUACCUUAUCAAAUAUCUCCAGAACAUCUCCAUCUGAAUCGCUGCUGGCCGUCGCUACAGCAGCCACUGUCCGAUUUUUGAGUUGAGGGCAAUCUCUGGCUAGAUGCCCCAACUCUUCACACCGGUAACACCUGGUUUUGCUCAAGUCCC
Molecule: long non-coding RNA, 317 nt
Filed under: Elaeis guineensis (African oil palm)
Lineage: Eukaryota; Viridiplantae; Streptophyta; Magnoliopsida; Arecales; Arecaceae
Description: long non-coding RNA (EGUI_LNC023879)
Source: RNAcentral